ACGUAGGGUGCGAGCGUUGUCCGGAAUUACUGGGCGUAAAGAGCUCGUAGGUGGUUUGUCUCGUCGUCUGUGAAAUUCCGGGGCUUAACUCCGGGCGUGCAGGCGAUACGGGCAUAACUUGAGUGCUGUAGGGGAGACUGGAAUUCCUGGUGUAGCGGUGAAAUGCGCAGAUAUCAGGAGGAACACCGAUGGCGAAGGCAGGUCUCUGGGCAGUAACUGACGCUGAGGAGUGAAAGCAUGGGUAGCGAACAG
Molecule: ribosomal RNA, 252 nt
Filed under: uncultured prokaryote
Description: partial 16S rRNA
Rfam family: Bacterial small subunit ribosomal RNA
Source: RNAcentral